Molecule: small nucleolar RNA, 128 nt
Filed under: Sorex araneus (European shrew)
Lineage: Eukaryota; Metazoa; Chordata; Mammalia; Eulipotyphla; Soricidae
Description: U8 small nucleolar RNA (ENSSARG00000020085.1)
Rfam family: U8 small nucleolar RNA
About the family: U8 is a member of the C/D class of snoRNA which contain the C (UGAUGA) and D (CUGA) box motifs. U8 is the RNA component of a small complex (the U8 snoRNP) which is required for accumulation of mature large subunit ribosomal RNAs, 5.8S and 28S rRNAs.
Source: RNAcentral
CCAUAAUAUAGGGAAAAGCCAAACAUUGUCAGAGGGCAGAUAAAACAUUAUGAUUGGAAUUUGUAUAAUUCAUGAUUAGCUUCUCUGCAUGAUUAGGGCUCAAAACACCCUAAUUGCUCCGAAGUGAU